This 495-nucleotide ribosomal RNA is filed under the name uncultured bacterium. RNAcentral describes it as "partial 16S ribosomal RNA". It matches the Rfam family "Bacterial small subunit ribosomal RNA", at positions 28 to 507 of the family's 1533-position model. The record is from RNAcentral.
GACGAACGCUGGCGGCGUGCCUAAUACAUGCAAGUCGAACGCUGAAGGAGGAGCUUGCUUCUCUGGAUGAGUUGCGAACGGGUGAGUAACGCGUAGGUAACCUGCCUGGUAGCGGGGGAUAACUAUUGGAAACGAUAGCUAAUACCGCAUAAGAGUAGAUGUUGCAUGACAUUUGCUUAAAAGGUGCAAUUGCAUCACUACCAGAUGGACCUGCGUUGUAUUAGCUAGUUGGUGGGGUAACGGCUCACCAAGGCGACGAUACAUAGCCGACCUGAGAGGGUGAUCGGCCACACUGGGACUGAGACACGGCCCAGACUCCUACGGGAGGAAGCAGUAGGGAAUCUUCGGCAAUGGACGGAAGUCUGACCGAGCAACGCCGCGUGAGUGAAGAAGGUUUUCGGAUCGUAAAGCUCUGUUGUAAGAGAAGAACGAGUGUGAGAGUGGAAAGUACACACUGUGACGGUAUCUUACAAGAAAGGGACGGCUAACUACGUG